Molecule: ribosomal RNA, 445 nt
Filed under: uncultured bacterium
Lineage: Bacteria
Description: bacterial SSU rRNA
Rfam family: Bacterial small subunit ribosomal RNA
Source: RNAcentral
GUGAGGAAUAUUGGUCAAUGGCCGAGAGGCUGAACCAGCCAAGUAGCGUGCAGGACGACGGCCCUAUGGGUUGUAAACUGCUUUUAUGCGGGGAUAAAGUUCGGGAUGCGUCCCGAUUUGCAGGUACCGCAUGAAUAAGGACCGGCUAAUUCCGUGCCAGCAGCCGCGGUAAUACGGAAGGUCCGGGCGUUAUCCGGAUUUAUUGGGUUUAAAGGGAGCGUAGGCUGGUGUUUAAGCGUGUUGUGAAAAACCGUCGCUCAACGACGGCCGUGCAGCGCGAACUGGACGCCUUGAGUGCGCUGAAAGUGGGCGGAAUUUGUGGUGUAGCGGUGAAAUGCUUAGAUAUCACGAAGAACUCCGAUUGCGAAGGCAGCUCACUGUAUCGCGACUGACGCUGAAGCUCGAAAGUGCGGGUAUCGAACAGGAUUAGAAACCCUAGUAGUCC